Molecule: ribosomal RNA, 497 nt
Filed under: uncultured bacterium
Lineage: Bacteria
Description: partial 16S ribosomal RNA
Rfam family: Bacterial small subunit ribosomal RNA
Source: RNAcentral
GAUGAACGCUGGCGGCGUGCCUAAUACAUGCAAGUCGAGCGAACAGACGAGGAGCUUGCUCCUCGCACGUUAGCGGCGGGCGGGUGAGUAACACGUGGAUAACCUACCUAUAAUACUGGGAUAACUUCGGGAAACCGGAGCUAAUCCGGGAGAAUCUAUUGCACCGCAGGGUGGGAUAGUGAAAUACGGUUUUGCUGGAACGACUAGAUGGUUCUCUGCCGCAUUAGCUAGUUGGUAAGGUAACGGCUUACCAAGGCAACUAGGCGUAGACGACGUGAUAGAGUGAUCGGCCGCACUGGAACUGAGACAGGGUCCAUAGUCCUACGGGAGGCAGCAGUAGGGAAUCUGCCGCAAUGGGCGAAAGCAUGACGGAGCAACGCCGAGUGAGUGAUGAAGGUCUUCGGAGCGUAAAACUGUGUUAUUAGGGAAGAACAAAUGUGUAAGUAACUAUGCACGUCUUGACGGUAACUAAUCAGAAAGCAACGGCUAACUACGUG